RNAcentral lists this ribosomal RNA (253 nucleotides) under uncultured bacterium. Its description in RNAcentral is "partial 16S ribosomal RNA". It matches the Rfam family "Bacterial small subunit ribosomal RNA", at positions 524 to 776 of the family's 1533-position model. The record is from RNAcentral.
UACAGAGGUCUCAACCGUUGUUCGGAUUCAUUGGGCGUAAAGGGUGCGUAGGCUGCGGAGUAAGUCAGGUGUGAAAUCUCGGGGCUCAACCCCGAAACUGCACUUGAUACUGCUUCGCUCGAGUACUGGAGAGGAGACUGGAAUUUACGGUGUAGCAGUGAAAUGCGCAGAUAUCAGGAGGAACACCGGUGGCGAAGGCGGAUCUCUGGGCCUUACCUGACGCUCAGGUGCGAAAGCUAGGGGAGCGAACAGG